This is a small nuclear RNA of Sorex fumeus (smoky shrew), 164 nucleotides long. RefSeq annotates it as U1 spliceosomal RNA. The transcript has a single exon. The record is from RefSeq and is a predicted model, not a curated record. Lineage: Eukaryota; Metazoa; Chordata; Mammalia; Eulipotyphla; Soricidae.
AUACUUAACUGGCAAGGGAGAUACUAUGACAUGAAGUUGGUUUCCCCAGGGCGAGGCUCAUCCAUUGCACUCUGGAUUUGCUGACCCACGCAAUUUCCCCAAAUAUGGGAAACUCAACUGCAUUAUUUGUGGUAGUGGGGGAACUGUGUUCAGGCUCUCCCCUG